CUCCAUAUGCCUUUUGGCUAGCUUUUACGGUUUGCUACUUUCUAGCUCUUAGCUUUACUACCUCUACCGAGAAGCUCUCUCUCGCUUCAGGUUUGCCUAAUCGAAUGAUUCUUUUUCCUCCGCAAACCAACCACUUUUUAUUCCUCACCUGCACCAGGAACUUCUUUCUAUUAAGGAGAUAUCGAUCGAAUAGCCUAAG
This 199-nucleotide long non-coding RNA is filed under the name Panax ginseng (ginseng). RNAcentral describes it as "long non-coding RNA (PGIN_LNC004858)". Lineage: Eukaryota; Viridiplantae; Streptophyta; Magnoliopsida; Apiales; Araliaceae. The record is from RNAcentral.